RNAcentral lists this ribosomal RNA (448 nucleotides) under uncultured bacterium. RNAcentral's name for it is "bacterial SSU rRNA". It matches the Rfam family "Bacterial small subunit ribosomal RNA", at positions 330 to 795 of the family's 1533-position model. The record is from RNAcentral.
GCCAGACUCCUACGGGAGGCAGCAGUGGGGAAUAUUGCACAAUGGGGGAAACCCUGAUGCAGCGACGCCGCGUGAGUGAAGAAGUAUCUCGGUACGUAAAGCUCUAUCAGCAGGGAAGAAAAUGACGGUACCUGACUAAGAAGCCCCGGCUAACUACGUGCCAGCAGCCGCGGUAAUACGUAGGGGGCAAGCGUUAUCCGGAUUUACUGGGUGUAAAGGGAGCGUAGACGGCUGUGCAAGCCUGAAGUGAAAGGCGGGGGCCCAACCCCGGGACUGCAUUGGAAACUGUUGAACUGGAGUACAGGAGAGGUAAGCGGAAUUCCUAGUGUAGCGGUGAAAUGCGUAGAUAUUAGGAGGAACACCAGUGGCGAAGGCGGCUUACUGGACUGUAACUGACGUUGAGGCUCGAAAGCGUGGGGAGCAAACAGGAUUAGAUACCCCCGUACCC